GUUAAAAGGCUUUUAUCCUCCGAAUCCGUACAGAGUGCGUCCCUGUCGCUUCAGAGCAUACACCACAUCCAUGGCGCUGACGGUCUUUCUUUUAGCGCUCAGUGUAGGACACAGCAUCUCGAAUCACGCUCUCC
Sinocyclocheilus anshuiensis is the source of this 134-nucleotide long non-coding RNA. RefSeq lists it as uncharacterized. The record is from RefSeq and is a predicted model, not a curated record. The transcript is spliced from 3 exons. Lineage: Eukaryota; Metazoa; Chordata; Actinopteri; Cypriniformes; Cyprinidae.